GUGAUCACUUCAGCAGCACAUAUACUAAAAUUUGAAUGAUACAGAGAUUAGCAUGGCCCAUGUGUAAGGAUAACAUGCAAAUUUGUAACGGACCUGCACAGGUAUUU
Small nuclear RNA from Callithrix jacchus (white-tufted-ear marmoset), 107 nucleotides. NCBI's taxonomy places the organism in Eukaryota, Metazoa, Chordata, Mammalia, Primates, Cebidae. The record is from Ensembl.